Molecule: non-coding RNA, 304 nt
Filed under: Longilinea arvoryzae
Lineage: Bacteria; Bacillati; Chloroflexota; Anaerolineae; Anaerolineales; Anaerolineaceae
Description: T-box sequence
Rfam family: T-box leader
About the family: Uncharged tRNA acts as the effector for transcription antitermination of genes in the T-box leader family.
Source: RNAcentral
CGAAAGACGUUGAAGAGGACGAGUAUGCAUCGCCCAAACGGUACAGAGAGCAGGAGCCGGUGAAAACCUGCCCGUACAGGGAUGCAGAAUGGACCUCGGAGUUGCAAGGCGAACGGCCACCCGGCCCACUAGCCAACGCCGGAGCUGCCACCGUUAUCAAGGCAAAGGAUAUCGCGACUCUUGCCGCCGUAUCCGCAAGAGUGAGGCUGGCUUUGAUCCCCUGGUGCCUACACCAGGGGAUUUUUGUAACCAAAGGCAGUCAGCCUAACUGGGGUGGCACCACGGACCAGCGUUCGUCCCCAGA